GAGCACUGGAUGAACUAGGGCCCAUACCCGGGUACCGAAUUCAAUCAAACUCCGAAUGCCUUGGGGUGUAAUCCGGGAGUCAGUGCGCGAGGGAUAAGCUUCGUGCGCGAGAGGCAAACAUGCCAGACCAGCAGCUAAGGUGCCUAAAUACCGCGUAGUGGAAAGGAGGUGGAGAUACUUAGACAAUGAGGAUGUUGGCUUAGAGGCAGCCACCAUUUAAACAAUGCGUAAUAGCUGACUCAUCGAGCGAUGUUGCGCCGAAAAUGAUUGGCGAUUAAAUCAUAUACCGAAGCUGCGGAUUUACAGAGGAUUCGUCCCCUGUAAGUGGUAGGAGAGCGUAGUCAACGUUGUGAAGCUCGACGGUAACGGAAAGUGGAGCGUUGACUAGUGAGAAUGCAGACAUGAGUAGCGAUUAGCCAGAUGAGAAUUCUGGCCGCCGUAUACCCAAGGUUUCCUGGGCCAGGUUCGUCCUCCCAGGGUUAGUCGGG
This 488-nucleotide ribosomal RNA is filed under the name Chloropicon mariensis. RNAcentral describes it as "partial Bacterial large subunit ribosomal RNA". It matches the Rfam family "Bacterial large subunit ribosomal RNA", at positions 905 to 1388 of the family's 2925-position model. Lineage: Eukaryota; Viridiplantae; Chlorophyta; Chloropicophyceae; Chloropicales; Chloropicaceae. The record is from RNAcentral.